CCUGCUCUCUUGGCGCUGCUGCUGAGGGUCACAUGGCAGCUGCUCCACCAGGGCUCUAUGAAUGACCGCUUGCUCCCAGCUCCCAAGAUGCUUCCAGGCUCUUCUUUCCUGGUUGUGGAUGCAGAGCUGGAAACCGGAAAUUCCCUCUGUUGUAAGUCCCCUUCCCUAGGAGCUGUCCUCACCGGAGCUUGACAGAGCCGAGCUUGAGUUCUGAGAGCAAGGUAGUAUGACACUAAGACACUGAGAGAAGUGAAUUUCUUGUUACUUGCUCUUCCAUCUUUUCUGCACCUCAGCACUCAGUGGCCCUCAUUCUUGCCUUCAGAUGAAGAUGUUGAACUCUCAGCUCCUCCUUCACCAUGCCUGCCUGGAUGCUGCCAUGUUCCUGCCUUGAUGAUACUGGACUGAACCUCUGAACCUGACUGAGUCACUGGAGCAUCUAUCUGCACGCUGCGGUUUCGACUUUCCCCCAAGUGCAUAGCGAGAGUCCUGACGUUGCUACGGAAGUCAAGGAAAAGCCUUCCGCCUCCUCAGGCCUUCUUGC
Molecule: long non-coding RNA, 541 nt
Filed under: Mus spretus (western wild mouse)
Lineage: Eukaryota; Metazoa; Chordata; Mammalia; Rodentia; Muridae
Description: lncRNA (ENSMSPG00010006709.1)
Source: RNAcentral